RNAcentral lists this long non-coding RNA (1100 nucleotides) under Mytilus galloprovincialis (Mediterranean mussel). Lineage: Eukaryota; Metazoa; Mollusca; Bivalvia; Mytilida; Mytilidae. The record is from RNAcentral.
UUUUUUUUCAUUUUUGAAAUUUCUUUUUUAUUGACCUACAUGUACAAAAACUCUUCUUUAAAUUUAUUUAUUGAAAUAUGGGAUGCAUAGGAAACUAUAAACUUUAUCAUCAACUCAUGAUGUCAGCAACUUCUUCAUCUUCAGGUUCUUCUUCUAAUUCACAUAACUGAAAGUCUUUAUUUGAGUUCAUUUGCCUUCUUUCCCGAAUAUCCGCAAAUUGAAGAGGGUCCGGUAAACGUUCAGGAAGUUCAUAUUCUUUUUUUGAACCAGCGAAAAAUGAAGGUUCAUUUACUUGCAUCGAGACUGAGAGUAGAAUAUCUGGAUUAAAUAUAGCUUUUCUCUCCUUUUGUUCAGCAACUGGUUCCGACUCCGGUUUCCUUGUAGGUGUAGGCGUACUGCGCUUUCGUCGAUUUUCUUGACGCUUCAAAACUUCUUCUUGAACUUUUUCAGAAAACCCCAUUGCACGAUGUAAUUGCCCAGACACUAUCUUUGCAUUUAAAUCUCUGAUAUUUACAAAAAACAUCGACGAAGAUCGAUUCAAACUAGUUUUGUUGUUAUUGCUGCUGUUUUUGUUUUUAUUUUCGUUUUCAUCAUCGUUUUCUAUUUUUUGAAUUUCCUUUUUCGGCUGUUGAUAGUCUUUUAUUGCGAGUCUUUUUUUCAAAAGUCUUGGCUUGGCAAUUUCGCCUUUCGCAAUUUUAUCUUGAAUAUCACUUUCACUUAAAUCUGGUAAAUAUCUUCGUAAUACUGCAGCUGUGGUCAUGUUCUCGUGUGAUAUCCGUAAGGUUGGGAAACAUUGAUCACACUUGUAUAAUCCCAUUUGUCUCGAUUGGUCUUGUUUACACUGACUACACACUUGAGGUCCUAUGAUUUCACAAAUUUCCCUUCCCACAGGGAGAGAUGCCAAAUAGUUAAUAGGAUAUACUGAAUCUGUAUCGUCGUCGAUGUCAUUCGCAUCAAUACGAGAAUUGGCACGAGACGGGAGUGGUUCACUUCGGAUGCUCUUUGGUGUCAUUGCAUCUCUUCGCACAUCAUGCAUAUAUCGACUAGCGCUUGUGUGCGGACGACUUGGAGCGUAUUCCUCGAACUUAUGAGUUUUAUUU